This is a long non-coding RNA of Sciurus carolinensis (gray squirrel), 549 nucleotides long. RefSeq lists it as uncharacterized. The record is from RefSeq and is a predicted model, not a curated record. The transcript is spliced from 3 exons. NCBI's taxonomy places the organism in Eukaryota, Metazoa, Chordata, Mammalia, Rodentia, Sciuridae.
GUGUAGAUAUGGGUCAGCUUUCGAUUUCUGACUUGUUUAACGUACGCAGACUACGAGCACAGCUACAAGCACACGAACACACGAGUUGCCAGAUUUCUUUUCUCUUUCUGGCUGCAAAAAGGACGGAAAGCCUCUCCUAACGAAACUCGGGCGGGCGGGCGGGCUUAUUUUCCCCUCCCCUCUGAGGCCGAAACUUUAAGAGGGGACGGAGGAGAAAGGAGCUGCCUACUGCUGCGAGACGGCCAGUGGCGAUAAGGAUCGCGCUCGUGGCAGAACUCGGGGUGGCGGACGUACCAGGCUGCUUCCCUAGGCCAGCCAGGUGUGGAAGAGCUCAGAGCUCCCCGGGCUGCACAUCUGCAAAUCGGAAGACCCAGGUUCCAGUCCCACCUCUGCUUGCCCCGGCUGCAUGACCUAAGGUGGAACCUAUUCUUGGUCUAAUGCUGAGGACACCACAGAAGCACAGGAGGGAGAGGUCACAAGAUGGAGGAAUUCAGGUCUGGAUGAAGGCUGCCUGGCCAGGAACAGCUACACACCAUGGUGUAAACAAGA